UGAAAACGCGUGAGAAAACUGAAAAUGUGCAGGGUAAUCGGAUACACAGAAUGAAAAAUUGUGAUUUCAGGCAAAAACAUACAAGGUAACCGAUUACUCAAAGGGAAGUAACCGGUUACACAGAAUGAAAAUUCGUGGGUCAGGUAAAAAUAUGAAGGGUAAUCGAUUAUCCAAAAAGAAGUAAUCGAUUACAUAGAGUGAAAAAAU
RNAcentral lists this long non-coding RNA (207 nucleotides) under Lathyrus oleraceus (garden pea). RNAcentral describes it as "Pisum sativum (pea) long non-coding RNA (PSAT_LNC031842)". Lineage: Eukaryota; Viridiplantae; Streptophyta; Magnoliopsida; Fabales; Fabaceae. The record is from RNAcentral.